Suricata suricatta (meerkat) is the source of this 837-nucleotide long non-coding RNA. RefSeq lists it as uncharacterized. The transcript is spliced from 3 exons. NCBI's taxonomy places the organism in Eukaryota, Metazoa, Chordata, Mammalia, Carnivora, Herpestidae. The record is from RefSeq and is a predicted model, not a curated record.
GUCGGAGUAGGAGGCGGCCCGCAAUGGGGAAGCUGGGCGCUCCCAUUCCCCAACUAGCUGCAGAAAUGCUUCCACCUGCUCCCCUGAGCGACCCCACGCUGAGACCGCCCCAUACCCUAGCCACGCUCACCACCCCCCACCCUCUGGCCUGAGCUGCUUUGACCUGAGGGUCACCUCAGCAGAAUGACGACGACAAAGCCUGGAGGAAAUCUGGAGUUUGCAAGACAAGCAAGCCCAGGUACCACCACUGCUUCUCUGGGCAGGUGCCCACCUCUGGCUGCUACCUCCCGCCCCACCACUGAAACUCAGCCGUCAAUGGACGCGAGCAGCAGAGACGAAGUCAGCAAAGAGACUCCAACAUUUCCCUUUUCCAUUUCAGAAAGAUUACUGGAAGUCUGGAUGGCUGUCUGUCACCUCACGCACCAAGUGCCCACAGUACAGUGAAGUAACCUAAAGGAGGGGGACCCACCUGGACCGCCUGCUGUAACUUCUGCCUCGGUGGUAACUGUCACUCCUCUGGCUUCGACUUCGACUCCGACUCCUGCUGUAGUAGCUGUCGUAAGUGUAGGACCUGCUUCAACAGCAACAACACACUCAGUUUUCCCAUUCCAAUACUUAUGUGCAUCCAUUUCUUUUUAUGAUCUGAUCAGUGUUCUCUGAAAACAAGGGCCUAGAUGACACUGUGGGGAUACAGCUGCAUAGCAAGGACUAGAAACGGUGAACAAUCGCCCCAGUCAGACUUACCACAGUAAAAAGAAAAAUGUUAAUUUAUUUUCUGCACUGAAAAAUAUCACGAAGUUAACACUGAGUUAAGUUUGACCAAAUCCAGAGGAUGUU